UUUAUGGAGAGUUUGAUCCUGGCUCAGGAUGAACGCUGGCGGCGUGCCUAAUACAUGCAAGUCGAGCGAACGGACGAGAAGCUUGCUUCUCUGAUGUUAGCGGCGGACGGGUGAGUAACACGUGGAUAACCUACCUAUAAGACUGGGAUAACUUCGGGAAACCGGAGCUAAUACCGGAUAAUAUUUUGAACCGCAUGGUUCAAAAGUGAAAGACGGUCUUGCUGUCACUUAUAGAUGGAUCCGCGCUGCAUUAGCUAGUUGGUAAGGUAACGGCUUACCAAGGCAACGAUGCAUAGCCGACCUGAGAGGGUGAUCGGCCACACUGGAACUGAGACACGGUCCAGACUCCUACGGGAGGCAGCAGUAGGGAAUCUUCCGCAAUGGGCGAAAGCCUGACGGAGCAACGCCGCGUGAGUGAUGAAGGUCUUCGGAUCGUAAAACUCUGUUAUUAGGGAAGAACAUAUGUGUAAGUAACUGUGCACAUCUUGACGGUACCUAAUCAGAAAGCCACGGCUAACUACGUGCCAGCAGCCGCGGUAAUACGUAGGUGGCAAGCGUUAUCCGGAAUUAUUGGGCGUAAAGCGCGCGUAGGCGGUUUUUUAAGUCUGAUGUGAAAGCCCACG
This 623-nucleotide ribosomal RNA is filed under the name Staphylococcus aureus. RNAcentral's name for it is "bacterial SSU rRNA". It matches the Rfam family "Bacterial small subunit ribosomal RNA", at positions 1 to 606 of the family's 1533-position model. The record is from RNAcentral. Lineage: Bacteria; Bacillati; Bacillota; Bacilli; Caryophanales; Staphylococcaceae.